Molecule: ribosomal RNA, 519 nt
Filed under: Preussia sp. BSH2.9
Lineage: Eukaryota; Fungi; Ascomycota; Dothideomycetes; Pleosporales; Sporormiaceae
Description: eukaryotic LSU rRNA
Rfam family: 5.8S ribosomal RNA (bases 194-347)
Source: RNAcentral
AAGUAAAAGUCGUAACAAGGUUUCCGUAGGUGAACCUGCGGAAGGAUCAUUAUCGUAGGGCUCCGGCCCUGUCGAGAUAGAACCCUUGCCUUUUUGAGUACCUCUUCGUUUCCUCGGCGGGCUCGCCCGCCAGUGGGGACCACAAAAAACACUUUGUAAUACCUGUACUGUCUGAGAAACAAACAAAAAUUAAAACUUUCAACAACGGAUCUCUUGGUUCUGGCAUCGAUGAAGAACGCAGCGAAAUGCGAUAAGUAGUGUGAAUUGCAGAAUUCAGUGAAUCAUCGAAUCUUUGAACGCACAUUGCGCCCUUUGGUAUUCCUUAGGGCAUGCCUGUUCGAGCGUCAUUUAAACCUUCAAGCUCAGCUUGGUGAUGGGUGACUGUCCGCCGCCCCCGGGCGCGGACUCGCCCCAAAUUCAUUGGCGGCCGGUACGUUGGCUUCGAGCGCAGCAGAAACGCGAACUCGUGGCCCUCUUGUGCUGGCUCCCAGGAGCAAUUUCACAAUUUGACCUCGGAUC